RNAcentral lists this long non-coding RNA (308 nucleotides) under Cavia porcellus (domestic guinea pig). Its description in RNAcentral is "lncRNA (ENSCPOG00000036592.1)". Lineage: Eukaryota; Metazoa; Chordata; Mammalia; Rodentia; Caviidae. The record is from RNAcentral.
CUCACCCAACGGUGAGAUUUCUUUGUUGCAAUGUUGGAGUCUGAGAUAACACUGUUGGAAGCUGCAGCCAGACUCGUAGCCGAUGCCAUCUUUUAUUGUGUAUUGUUUACCAGCAUUCUAAACUAAGGAGGCAAAGGAACAAAGACACGCAGGACUCCCGGGGCCCUGGAUGGAGGCUGGCAGCUACAGACAGCACCAGCACGUCUGAGGGACAACCAGGAGGUGCCUCUGGCUGUGGAGCUCAGGUUUGCCUUUGGAAAAGAAUGAGAAGAGCUGGUAAACUCAGCUUCCUCGCUUCUGCGCCUUAG